AAAGAACGACAUUGCUCACAUUGCUUCCAGUGUUUAUUUAGCCGGCCUAGCGCCGGCUUUUUUUU
RNAcentral lists this non-coding RNA (65 nucleotides) under Morganella psychrotolerans. The record is from RNAcentral. Lineage: Bacteria; Pseudomonadati; Pseudomonadota; Gammaproteobacteria; Enterobacterales; Morganellaceae.